This 377-nucleotide ribosomal RNA is filed under the name uncultured bacterium. RNAcentral describes it as "bacterial SSU rRNA". It matches the Rfam family "Bacterial small subunit ribosomal RNA", at positions 523 to 898 of the family's 1533-position model. The record is from RNAcentral.
AUACGUAGGGGGCGAGCGUUGUCCGAAUUCACUGGGCGUAAAGCGCGCGUAGGCGGGUUUUUAAGUUGCGGGUGAAAUUCCGAGGCUCAACCUCGUAACUGCCUGCAAAACUGGGAGCCUUGAGGUAUGGAGAGGGAAGUGGAAUUCCUGGUGUAGCGGUGAAAUGCGUAGAUAUCAGGAGGAACACCCGUGGCGAAGGCGGCUUCCUGGCCAUAUCCUGACGCUGAGGUGCGAAAGCUAGGGUAGCGAACGGGAUUAGAUACCCCGGUAGUCCUAGCCGUAAACGAUGGAUACUAGGUGUUAGAGGUAUCGACCCCUCUAGUGCCGCAGCUAACGCAUUAAGUAUCCCGCCUGGGGAGUACGGCCGCAAGGUUGAA